GGAACCUAGAGUGAUAAGCUCAAGCAAGAAAAGGAGAAAAUAGCAAGUCAAGUCAAGGCCACUCAAAGAAAAGAGAAUGGCUUUCCAGUCACAAAAUCUGUCAUUGGACAUGCCAGUUCAAAAGGGACUCACAGAGAAUUGAUACCCAAGAUAAGGAAGGAGAUAGUGAGAGAUGCCCUUUCUGCUCUGGAUGAAUCAAUUGACCUGGAAUGUGGUGGCUGCAGUUUACCUGGAUUUUAGCAAAGGUUUUGACAAAGUGGCUUAUGCUAUUCUUAUGGAGCAGAUGGAGAGGGAGCUACCUCACCUGACUCAACUCAUUACCCAUUGGAGCACCCCUGGUGAAUAGACACAG
Molecule: non-coding RNA, 352 nt
Organism: Phascolarctos cinereus (koala)
Lineage: Eukaryota; Metazoa; Chordata; Mammalia; Diprotodontia; Phascolarctidae
Source: RefSeq, a predicted model, not a curated record